Molecule: ribosomal RNA, 484 nt
Filed under: uncultured bacterium
Lineage: Bacteria
Description: partial 16S ribosomal RNA
Rfam family: Bacterial small subunit ribosomal RNA
Source: RNAcentral
AUUGAACGCUGGCGGCAUGCUUUACACAUGCAAGUCGAACGGCAGCGCGGGCUUCGGCCUGGCGGCGAGUGGCGAACGGGUGAGUAAUGCAUCGGAACGUGCCCAGUAGUGGGGGAUAGCCCGGCGAAAGCCGGAUUAAUACCGCAUACGACCUGAGGGUGAAAGCGGGGGACCGAAAGGCCUCGCGCUAUUGGAGCGGCCGAUGUCGGAUUAGCUAGUUGGUGGGGUAAAGGCUUACCAAGGCGACGAUCCGUAGCUGGUCUGAGAGGACGACCAGCCACAACGGGACUGAGACAAGGCCCAGAAUCCUAAGGGAAGGAGCAGUGGGGAAUUUUGGACAAUGGGGGCAACCCUGGUCCCAGCAUGGCGCGUGCGGGAAGGAGGGCUUCGGGUUGGAAACCGCUUUUGUUCGGGAAGAAAUCCCCUGGGCUAAUACCCCGGGGGGAUGACGGUACCGGAAGAAUAAGCACCGGCUAACUACGUG